This 742-nucleotide non-coding RNA is filed under the name Cucujoidea sp. 1 KM-2017. Lineage: Eukaryota; Metazoa; Arthropoda; Insecta; Coleoptera. The record is from RNAcentral.
AUUAAAUUUAAUUGUGGUUUUUUAUUUAUAUAAAUUUUUAUAGUAUAUAUGAAUUUUAUAGUAAAUUAAUUUAUUAGUAGUAUAUAAUUUUAAAUAUAAAAGAAAUUUUGAUUUAGUAAUAAAUUAAAUUUAGACUAUAUUUGUGCCAGCAGUUGCGGUUAUACAAAUUAAAUAAUAUAAAUUUUUUAAUUUUAAUAAAUUGGUUUUAAAUGAUGUAAUAAGUAAUUUUUUAGGUGAAAUUUAGAAUUAUUUAAUUAUAUCUUUUUUUUUGAGAUGAUUUAAUAAAUUUUGUGUAAAACUAGGAUUAGAUACCCUAUUAUUUUUAUAGUGAAUUUUAAUUAAAUAAGUAGUAGUUAUGUUCUUGAAAGUUAAAUAAUUUGGCGGUAUUUUAGUCUUUUUAGAGGAACCUGUUCUGUAAGUGAUAACCCACGGUUAAAGUGACUUUAUUUAGAAAUUUACAUAUCGUCGUUAUUAAUAUUUUUAUAGGAUUAAAUGUUAAAAAUUUUAAAUUUAAAAAUGAAUCAGAUCAAGAUGUAAUUUAUAUUAAAGAAGAAAUGGGUUACAAUAAAAAAAUUUUUGGAAAAUAAAUUUUAAAUUUAUUUGAAAUUGGAUUUAAAAGUAAUUUAAUUUAUAUUUUUUAAAUGGUUAAGCUCUAAAAUAUGCACAUAUUGCCCGUCGCUUUCAUAAAAAAUGAAAUAAGUCGUAACAAAGUAGAUUUACUGGAAAGUGAUUCUAGAGGCAU